GAUGAACGCUGGCGGCGUGCCUAACACAUGCAAGUCGAACGAAGCAAUUGAAGGAAGUUUUCGGAUGGAAUUCGAUUGACUGAGUGGCGGACGGGUGAGUAACGCGUGGAUAACCUGCCUCACACUGGGGGAUAACAGUUAGAAAUGACUGCUAAUACCGCAUAAGCGCACAGUACCGCAUGGUACAGUGUGAAAAACUCCGGUGGUGUGAGAUGGAUCCGCGUCUGAUUAGCUAGUUGGUGGGGUAACGGCUCACCAAGGCGACGAUCAGUAGCCGACCUGAGAGGGUGACCGGCCACAUUGGGACUGAGACACGGCCCAA
Molecule: ribosomal RNA, 322 nt
Filed under: uncultured bacterium
Lineage: Bacteria
Description: bacterial SSU rRNA
Rfam family: Bacterial small subunit ribosomal RNA
Source: RNAcentral